Molecule: long non-coding RNA, 1319 nt
Organism: Solanum stenotomum
Lineage: Eukaryota; Viridiplantae; Streptophyta; Magnoliopsida; Solanales; Solanaceae
Exons: 5
Source: RefSeq, a predicted model, not a curated record
AAUUGUAAGACCAAUUAUUCUAACUCCCUUUUCCUUCUCUCUAACUCACUUUACUCAAACCCACUAAGCUAGAAGCUUCUCUCCAAAACUCACAUGCAGAAGUGAUGGUGGAAACAAUCUGAUUUUCCAAAGCUCCAAUCGAUGUAGCUCCAAGUUCCAAGCUCAUCCAAAGCUCAUCUUAAAACUCUCCAAGCAGACCUCGUGCUUCUCUCCAAAUGGAUUUUUCUGAAGUAAAGGACUACAGAUCGAGAAGAUUUGCUUACCAAUCUACCCAAAAAAUCAAGUUUAAUCUACAAAUUUCAAGCUCUGUAAGAUAAAUCAUCUAGCCUUAAAGUUAUGAGUUUGCUUGAAUUCAACAACAGCAAUAACAUAUCUAGUGAAAUUCCACAAAGAUGGGUCUGGAGAGGGUAGAGUGUACGCAAGACCUUACCACUACCUCAUGGAGGUAGAGAUGCUAUUUUCGAAAGACACUCGAAUCAAGCCUUGGGUUGUACCUGAAGAGGAUGGGUAAUGAUGGGUAGCCAAUAGGACUCCAGUCACCUCAUCUAGUACAGUUGGCAAUAUGGAUAAUGAUCAUCAAAUCUGGAUUGUACCUGAAGAGGGUGGGUUUGAUCCUCACAAGAUAGUUAUUGAAGGCAUUGCUAGUUGGAUUCGUAGUAAAUUUGAAUUGGCUAGACCCUCAUGAAAGAAGUUUCCAGAAUUUACUCAUGAUAUGUGGUUUGAGGAAUUCAAGAAGAAAUUCAAAAGGCUCCCUCACUAUACUGAUGUUAUACGACGUAAUUUUGAGAAAAGGGCAUCUGCAAGGAUGGAACAAUUUUUUCAAGAUGUUAGGAAAAACUUGCCUCUGAAGCCACAUUGAAUGGGGGAUGCAGUAUUUAAGGAGAUGAAGAGGCACUGGGAGUCUCCUUCAUUCAAGAUAAAGUCUGAACAAAACAAAAAAAAUUGUGAUUCAAAUGUUGGUGCAUCACUUCACACAGGUGGUUGUAUACCUCAUCAAGUGAUCUCUAAUAGAAUGAAAGAAUCUACUGAAAAAGAUCCAUCAAUUUCAAAAUUUUAUUUUCGAACCCAUCGCAAGAAAAGUGAUAAAAGUUGGGUAAAUGAGAAAGCAGAAACUGCUUAUGUAAGUAUUCAUUCACUCUAUUCUUUUGUAGAUUAAAUAAUUUAUUCCUGAUUUUGCUAUCUUAUUGUUGGAGCUCAUCUUUUAUGGUACUGAAAAUUCAAGUUGGUGUAUGAGUAUAUCAGGAAUAUGGUUGUACAAUUAUAGCAAUAUGCAUAAAUCUAUGAAACCUUGCAAUGGCUAUGAAUUGUGAAAUGAAAUU